UAGGACCCUUAUGAACACAGUGGAAAAGAGAAAAUCAUGAAAAAGAACUGUUAAGUCAGUCAAAUAAUUAGGUCAGGGAGCCGGAAGAAAUAUUGGAUUAUUUACAAACCGGGAUGAACAGGCGAGGGGCAAUUUGGUCAAUUGACCCCGAGAGCUGACUCCUGACCUAACUGUCAAAUAAAAUCGGAGAAAAGAAAAUUUCGGAAUCGAGAAUUAAAUUAAAGAACUAAUAGAAAAAAAAAAAUAAAAAGAGAUGAAAAUGAAAAAGUCAAAAGUUAUGACAUCAUGCAUGAUGUCAUAACUAAAGUAAUAAAUUGAAUUAUUUAAUUUGGGAAUUAGGGGUCUUCCAUAAGCCAAAAAAAAAAAAAAAAACGUGUAAAGGAAACCAAAGGAAAAAAAUUAGGAUUUUCUUCUUCCUUGCCACCCCACUUUCCUCCCAAAUUCCUCCAUGAAUGGUCCUCCAUUUAAGCUUACAUUUAAGCUUAAUUUUCUUCACUUAAUCCAAAUAACUCUCUUAAAAACCACCCUAGAGCUUGUUAUUGCAACUUAAGAAGGAGAUUACAAGAAGAAAGAAGAAUUAAAGAUAGGGUUUUGAAGCUUUAACAAAAGUUGAAAAGAAUAUCGGGAAGGAACCCGAGGAACCGAGUCGAGGCUAAAGGACGACUCGUUUGAGAUACAGAGAUUAGAGGAGCAGCAGACUGAGCUGCUGAGGUGUGAAGUCAUCAGUUUGAAGCCUUCGGGUAUAAUUUAUACCCUAACUGUAAAUACUUCUUUUGAUGUAUAUAUUGCACAUAAAUGUAUGGACAUGUAAAAAUGGGUCUUGAGCAGCUUGUACACAAAUUUGUAUGAAGUUUGUAAUAAAGUUUAGUUUGUGUUUCUUUUGAUAUAAAUUUGUAAGGUUAUGUAUAAAUUAUUUUGUUUUUAAUGAAAUAUGAA
Hevea brasiliensis (rubber tree) is the source of this 936-nucleotide long non-coding RNA. RefSeq lists it as uncharacterized. The record is from RefSeq and is a predicted model, not a curated record. NCBI's taxonomy places the organism in Eukaryota, Viridiplantae, Streptophyta, Magnoliopsida, Malpighiales, Euphorbiaceae. The transcript is spliced from 3 exons.